Cheilinus undulatus (humphead wrasse) is the source of this 609-nucleotide long non-coding RNA. RefSeq lists it as uncharacterized. NCBI's taxonomy places the organism in Eukaryota, Metazoa, Chordata, Actinopteri, Labriformes, Labridae. The transcript has 6 exons. The record is from RefSeq and is a predicted model, not a curated record.
UGGACAUCACCAUGGCAUGUCAAGGACAUAGUGAAUCACUUUUAUCAUGUUGCAAAGAAGUGAUGACCCAUCUGCCUUCCAAGGGCCUUUGGACCUCCUCCAUGUUGCUGUCGAGCACGGUUGUCUUGCAGCCAGUCAGACAAAGACCUGGACUGAGAGAGGGAGUGGGACUCGCUGCAUCCUCACUAACACUGUGACAAACAAAUGGGGGCAGAAAUGUCCCCAAGUACCUGCACUUCAGGAUGGACAUCGCCAUGGCAUGUCAAGGACAUAUUGAACCACUUCAGACAUGUUGCAGAGAAGUGAUGACCUCUCUGCGUUACAUGGAGCUUUGGACCUCAAUCUUGUUGCUGUUGUGACCAUCAGUGCCUUGCAGUUGGACAAAGACCUGGGCUGAGAGAGGGAGCAGAUUGUUUUCUCUACUAUUGUGGAUGGACAUCAUUGUGGCAUGUGUCAGGGACAGUGAACCACUUUUAUCAUGUUGCAGAGACGUGAUGGCCCAUCUGCAUUUCAUGGGCCUUUGGACCUCCUCUAUGUUGCUGGGAUGAGCAUAACUGCCUUGCAGGGACCAGGAUUACACCCUCACUAACACAUGGGGGCUAAAGAUGU